UCCCUGAUUUUCGGCGGACGGGUGAGUAAUGCCUAUGAAUCUGCCUGGUAGUGGGGGAUAACGUUCCGAAAGGAACGCUAAUACCGCAUACGUCCUACGGGAGAAAGCAGGGGACCUUCGGGCCUUGCGCUAUCAGAUGAGCCUAGGUCGGAUUACCUAGUUGGUGAGGUAAUGGCUCACCAAGGCGACGAUCCGUAACUGGUCUGAGAGGAUGAUCAGUCACACUGGAACUGAGACACGGUCCAGACUCCUACGGGAGGCAGCAGUGGGGAAUAUUGGACAAUGGGCGAAAGCCUGAUCCAACCAUGCCGCGUGUGUGAAGAAGGUCUUCGGAUUGUAAAGCACUUUAAGUUGGGAGGAAGGGCAUUAACCUAAUACUUUAGUGUUUUGACGUUACCAACAGAAUAAGCACCGGCUAACUUCGUGCCAGCAGCCGCGGUAAUACGAAGGGUGCAAGCGUUAAUCGGAAUUACUGGGCGUAAAGCGCGCGUAGGUGGUUUGUUAAGUUGGAUGUGAAAGCCCCGGGCUCAACCUGGGAACUGCAUCCAAAACUGGCGAGCUAGAGUACGGUAGAGGGUGGUGGAAUUUCCUGUGUAGCGGUGAAAUGCGUAGAUAUAGGAAGGAACACCAGUGGCGAAGGCGACCACCUGGACUGAUACUGACACUGAGGUGCGAAAGCGUGGGGAGCAAACAGGAUUAGAUACCCUGGUAGUCCACGCCGUAAACGAUGUCAACUAGCCGUUGGAAUCCUUGAGAUUUUAGUGGCGCAGCUAACGCAUUAAGUUGACCGCCUGGGGAGUACGGCCGCAAGGUUAAAACUCAAAUGAAUUGACGGGGGCCCGCACAAGCGGUGGAGCAUGUGGUUUAAUUUGAAGCAACGCGAAGAACCUUACCUGGCCUUGACAUGCUGAGAACUUUCCAGAGAUGGAUUGGUGCCUUUGGGAACUCAGACACAGGUGCUGCAUGGCUGUUGUCAGCUUGUGUCGUGAGAUGUUGGGUUAAGUCCCGUAACGAGCGCAACCCUUGUCCUUAGUUACCAGCACUUCGGGUGGGCACUCUAAGGAGACUGCCGGUGACAAACCGGAGGAAGGUGGGGAUGACGUCAAGUCAUCAUGGCCCUUACGGCCAGGGCUACACACGUGCUACAAUGGUCGGUACAAAGGGUUGCCAAGCCGCGAGGUGGAGCUAAUCCCAUAAAACCGAUCGUAGUCCGGAUCGCAGUCUGCAACUCGACUGCGUGAAGUCGGAAUCGCUAGUAAUCGUGAAUCAGAAUGUCACGGUGAAUACGUUCCCGGCCCUUGUACACACCGCCCGUCACACCAUGGGAGUGGGUUGCUCCAGAAGU
RNAcentral lists this ribosomal RNA (1345 nucleotides) under Ectopseudomonas mendocina. RNAcentral describes it as "bacterial SSU rRNA". It matches the Rfam family "Bacterial small subunit ribosomal RNA", at positions 85 to 1427 of the family's 1533-position model. Lineage: Bacteria; Pseudomonadati; Pseudomonadota; Gammaproteobacteria; Pseudomonadales; Pseudomonadaceae. The record is from RNAcentral.